AGCCUACCUCUAGCCCAACCACACUAAACUCAAAUAAAAUUAAAAACUCACCUCACUAUCAAACUAAAACAUUCUCCCGACUUAGUAUAGGCGAUAGAAAAGGACCCCCCCCCCCCCGCGNNNNNNNNNNNNNNNCCCCCACCCCCCCGGCGCGAUAGAGAUCAGUACCGUAAGGGAAAGAUGAAAUAACAAUGAAAAUCUAAGCAAUACACAGCAAAGAUGAACUCUUGUACCUUUUGCAUCAUGAUUUAGCAAGAACAACCAAGCAAAAUGAAUUUAAGUUUGCCACCCCGAAACCUAAGCGAGCUACUCACAAACAGCUACCCAUGAGCGAACCCGUCUCUGUUGCAAAAGAGUGGGAUGAUUUGUCAGUAGAGGUGAAAAGCCAACCGAGCUGGGUGAUAGCUGGUUGCCUGUGAAAUGAAUCUAAGUUCUCCCUUGACUGUUCUCCAAGGAUAUUCAAUCUAACCAUCAUGUAGCAAGUCAAGAAUAAUUUAAAGGGGGUACAGCCCCUUUAAAAAAGAACACAAUCUCUACUAGUGGAUAAGUACCUGCUAUAACCUACACCGUGGGCCUUUAAGCAGCCAUCAAUAAAGAGUGCGUCAAAGCUCUACCUUCAAAAAAUCCUAAAACAGAAUGACUCCCUUAACCCUAACAGGCUAAUCUAUUAACAAUAGAAGAAUCAAUGCUAAAAUGAGUAACUAGGGAAUCCCCUCUCAAGCGCAAGCUUACAUCCUCACAUUAUUAACAAAUAACUAAUACAGCAAUUUCAACAAGACCAAAUAUUAUUCUUCUUGUUAACCCAACUCAGGAGCGCUUAUUAGAAAGAUUAAAAUCCGUAAAAGGAACUAGGCAAACCCAAGGCCCGACUGUUUACCAAAAACAUAGCCUUCAGCUAAGCCAAGUAUUGAAGGUGAUGCCUGCCCAGUGACACUUAAUGUUUAACGGCCGCGGUAUCCUAACCGUGCGAAGGUAGCGCAAUCAAUUGUCCCAUAAAUCGAGACUUGUAUGAACGGCUAAACGAGGUCUUAACUGUCUCUUACGGAUAAUCAGUGAAAUUGAUCUUCCUGUGCAAAAGCAGGAAUAAAUACAUAAGACGAGAAGACCCUGUGGAACUUAAAAAUCAGCGACCACCAUACAUUAAACCUAAACCUAACAGGUUCACCACUACCAAAACAUUGGUCCGCAUUUUUCGGUUGGGGCGACCUUGGAGAAAAACAGACCCUCCAAAAAUAAGACCACACCUCUUAACUAAGAGCAACCCCUCAACGUACUAACAGUAACCAGACCCAAUACAAUUGAUCAAUGGACCAAGCUACCCCAGGGAUAACAGCGCAAUCCCCUCCAAGAGCCCAUAUCGACAAGGGGGUUUACGACCUCGAUGUUGGAUCAGGACAUCCUAGUGGUGCAGCCGCUACUAAGGGUUCGUUUGUUCAACGAUUAAUAGUCCUACGUGAUCUGAGUUCAGACCGGAGCAAUCCAGGUCGGUUUCUAUCUAUGACGUACUUUUCCUAGUACGAAAGGACUGGAAAAGUGGAGCCAAUACUACAAGCACGCUCCCCUCCCAAGCAAUGAACCAAACUGAAUUACCAAGGGAGCACCCACCAGUAAUCAAUAUCCAUCCUAGAAAAGGACCG
This 1637-nucleotide ribosomal RNA is filed under the name Fulmarus glacialis (Northern fulmar). RNAcentral describes it as "16S ribosomal RNA". The stretch from base 85 to 1548 matches the Rfam family "Bacterial large subunit ribosomal RNA". Lineage: Eukaryota; Metazoa; Chordata; Aves; Procellariiformes; Procellariidae. The record is from RNAcentral.